RNAcentral lists this ribosomal RNA (232 nucleotides) under uncultured Candidatus Saccharibacteria bacterium. RNAcentral describes it as "partial 16S ribosomal RNA". It matches the Rfam family "Bacterial small subunit ribosomal RNA", at positions 584 to 818 of the family's 1533-position model. The record is from RNAcentral. Lineage: Bacteria; Candidatus Saccharimonadota.
UAAGUUGGUAGUGAAUCCUGGGGCUCAACCCUUUAACAUUAUCAAACUGCUCAGCUAGAGGAUGAGAGAGGUCACUGGAAUUACUAGUGUAGGAGUGAAAUCCGUAGAUAUUAGUAGGAACACCGACGGCGUAGGCAGGUGACUGGCUCAUUCCUGACACUAAGGCACGAAAGCGUGGGGAGCGAACUGGAUUAGAUACCCAGGUAGUCCACGCCGUAAACGAUGGAUGCUA